UACGGAGGGAGCUAGCGUUGUUCGGAAUUACUGGGCGUAAAGCGCACGUAGGCGGCGACGUAAGUCGGGUGUGAAAGCCCCGGGCUUAACCUGGGAACUGCAGUCGAGACUGUCUAGCUAGAGUAUGGGAGAGGGAAGCGGAAUUCCGGGUGUAGCGGUGAAAUGCGUAGAUAUCCGGAGGAACACCGGUGGCGAAGGCGGCUUCCUGGACCGACACUGACGCUGAGGCGCGAAAGCUAGGGGAGCAAACGGG
RNAcentral lists this ribosomal RNA (253 nucleotides) under uncultured bacterium. Its description in RNAcentral is "partial 16S ribosomal RNA". It matches the Rfam family "Bacterial small subunit ribosomal RNA", at positions 524 to 776 of the family's 1533-position model. The record is from RNAcentral.